UAUGAAGAACGUAGCGAAAUGCGAUAAGUAAUGUGAAUUGCAGAAUUCAGUGAAUCAUCGAAUCUUUGAACGCACAUUGCGCCCGCCAGUAUUCUGGCGGGCAUGCCUGUUCGAGCGUCAUUACAACCCUCAGGCCCCCGGGCCUGGCGUUGGGGAUCGGCGGAAGCCCCCUGUGGGCACACGCCGUCCCUCAAAUACAGUGGCGGUCCCGCCGCAGCUUCCAUUGCGUAGUAGCUAACACCUCGCAACUGGAGAGCGGCGCGGCCAUGCCGUAAAACACCCAACUUCUGAAUGUUGACCUCGAAUCAGGUAGGAAUACCCGCUGAACUUAAGCAUAUCAAUAAGCGGAGGA
This 352-nucleotide unclassified non-coding RNA is filed under the name soil metagenome. RNAcentral's name for it is "partial contains 5.8S ribosomal RNA, internal transcribed spacer 2, and large subunit ribosomal RNA". The stretch from base 2 to 120 matches the Rfam family "5.8S ribosomal RNA", at positions 36 to 154 of the family's 154-position model. The record is from RNAcentral.